Molecule: ribosomal RNA, 468 nt
Filed under: uncultured bacterium
Lineage: Bacteria
Description: partial 16S ribosomal RNA
Rfam family: Bacterial small subunit ribosomal RNA
Source: RNAcentral
GACGAACGCUGGCGGCGUGCUUAACACAUGCAAGUCGAACGGAAAGGCCCUGCUUUUGUGGGGUGCUCGAGUGGCGAACGGGUGAGUAACACGUGAGUAACCUGCCCUUGACUUUGGGAUAACUUCAGGAAACUGGGGCUAAUACCGGAUAGGAGCUCCUGCUGCAUGGUGGGGGUUGGAAAGUUUCGGCGGUUGGGGAUGGACUCGCGGCUUAUCAGCUUGUUGGUGGGGUAGUGGCUUACCAAGGCUUUGACGGGUAGCCGGCAUGAGAGGGUGACCGGCGACAUUGGGACUGAGAUACGGCCCAGACUCCUACGGGAGGCAGCAGUGGGGAAUAUUGCACAAUGGGCGGAAGCCUGAUGCAGGAACGCCGCGUGCGGGAUGACGGCCUUCGGGUUGUAAACCGCUUUCGCCUGUGACGAAGCGUGAGUGACGGUAAUGGGUAAAGAAGCACCGGCUAACUACGUG